Molecule: ribosomal RNA, 827 nt
Filed under: uncultured bacterium
Lineage: Bacteria
Description: bacterial SSU rRNA
Rfam family: Bacterial small subunit ribosomal RNA
Source: RNAcentral
UAGGCGGAUAGAUAAGUCAGUGGUGAAUUCUGCAGCUUAACUGUAGACUUGCCGUUGAUACUGUCAGUCUUGAGUAUGGUCAAGGCAGGCGGAAUGUGUAAUGUAGCGGUGAAAUGCUUAGAUAUUACACAGAACACCGAUUGCGAAGGCAGCUUGCUGGGCCAUUACUGACGCUGAUGCACGAAAGCGUGGGGAUCGAACAGGAUUAGAUACCCUGGUAGUCCACGCCGUAAACGAUGAUCACUCGCUGUUGGCGAUACACAGUCAGCGGCUAAGCAAAAGCAUUAAGUGAUCCACCUGGGGAGUACGGCCGCAAGGCUGAAACUCAAAGGAAUUGACGGGGGCCCGCACAAGCGGAGGAACAUGUGGUUUAAUUCGAAGAUACGCGAGGAACCUUACCUGGGCUUAAAUGUAGAGUGCAUUGGUGAGAAAUCAUCAUUUUCUUCGGAACUCUCUGCAAGGUGCUGCAUGGUUGUCGUCAGCUCGUGCCGUGAGGUGUCGGGUUAAGUCCCAUAACGAGCGCAACCCUUAUCGUUAGUUGCCAGCGGGUAAUGCCGGGGACUCUAGCGAAACUGCCGGUGUAAACCGAGAGGAAGGUGGGGAUGACGUCAAAUCAGCACGGCCCUUAUGUCCAGGGCUACACACGUGUUACAAUGGCCGGUACAGAGGGCAGCUACCUGGAGACAGGAUGCGAAUCUCGAAAGCCGGUCUCAGUUCGGAUCGGAGUCUGCAACUCGACUCCGUGAAGCUGGAUUCGCUAGUAAUCGCGCAUCAGCCAUGGCGCGGUGAAUACGUUCCCGGGCCUUGUACACACCGCCCGUAAGGGC